UUUUUUUUUUUUGUCUUUUUGUCUUUUUAGGGCCGCACCUGUGGCAUAUGGAGGUUCUCAGGCUAAGGGCUGAAUCAGAGCUGUGGCUGCCGGCCUACAGCACAGCUUGCAGCAAAGCCAGAUGCUUAGCCCACCGAGUGGGGCCAGGGAUCAAACUCAUGUCCUCAUGGAUACUAGUCGAGUUUGUUACCACUGAGCCACAAUAGGAACUCCAGAAAUCAUCACCUUUCUCUCCCUCAUUCCUAGAGUAGUUGUAUAAUUCCAUCCACCCACCACAGGGUGGGUUAAAGAUUAAUGAGAUAACACACGUAAGGGUCUUGGGUUUCUUAGGAGAACAGGCUGAUGGCCAUAUAAAAAUGUCAUAUAAACAUUUAUUUUAUUUUUAUUUAUUUAUUUUGUCUUUGACUUUUAAGGGCCGCACCUGUGGCCUAUGGAGGUACCCAGGCUACAGGUCGAAUCGGAGCUGUAGCUGCCGGCCUACACACAGCCACAGCAAUGUCAGAUCCAAGCUGCAUCUGCGACCUACACCACAGCUCAUGGCAACGCCGGAUCCUUAACCCACGAUCGAGGCCAGGGAUUGAACCCACAACCUCGUGACUCCUAGUCAGAUUUGUUUGUGCUGCGCCACGAUGGGAACUCAACAUGUUAUUUAAACAAGAUGUAUUUUUCCCUCCUCCAGCCUUGUGAUUGGACGAUUGACUCAAAGCCUUACAUCUCCCUUGUUCUUGAGAAGUAAGUUCCAUUGGAAAGCAUUCAGUAAGUAACAAUCAAGGCGGCACCAUAGUCAUAAACAGCAAUUAUAGUAUAGUCCUUUCCUAUUCUUUCACCAAGUAGGGCAGUAUUCAAACACAAAGGACUCAGACACAAUAGGACAGAGAAGUGAGGAUGCUGAUCUCCCAUUAAUGGUCCUCAGAAAGAUUCUUGGGUUUGGGAAAAAAUCAAGGAUGGAUUAAGACAAGGGGAAGACUAAACAACAGACCACGCAAUCAUCGAGGUUAUUUAGGGCAGAGGGGUCUAGGAAGGAAGAACAAGGCCUGGGCAUCUGAGUGGUCUGGCUCUGUGACCCUGAGCAGAGGACUGAACCUCUCUGAGCCUCAGCUUCCUCAUCUGUAAGGUGAUUAUAACCUGUAAAGUGACUUAUUCAAGAGGAGGCUUCAAUGAGAUAGAUUUAUGUAAAGGGCCAUGACCACAGUGUUACAAGGCUAAUAAAUGGUCGCUAUUACAAUGAUUACUAUUGUUUAAUUUAAUAUAUAAUUCAUAUUAAUUAAUUAUAUAUUUAAUAUAUACUUCACAUUAAUUAAUUAUAUAUUUAAUAUAUACUUAGUAUUAAUUAAUAUGGCAGCUGAAACUACCCACGGCAUGGAGGUCCUUAUAUGUGACCCACUGUAAAGAGUUUCAUCCACGUGACUAUUGUACAAGGGGUGGUUCUCAGCUUGGGGGAGCUUAAAUCUUAUCAGAAAUAUUUCUCUCACAAGUUUGGUUUCCCUUUUUUUAAAAAAAUCCAAUUCUUAAUAUGUUCAUAGUUCGGAGAAGCUUUGUUAAGGAAAGGGGUUCAUCGGCAUCAUUUCUGAUAAGACUCAUUAGAGGUUCUGAAAGUCUGGGGUUCCAGGCUCGUUUUCAGGAACUUCAGGAAAAAGUAUAUAUGGUGAGGUGCUCAGACUGUCCCCUUAUUGACCACAAGGCCCUGCCCUCUGAGGACAGAGUGGAGUCAGUCAGCCCUUUCCUGGACAAGGAGAGGAGAGCAAGACUUGGCAGGAAAAUCACUGGCACUUCACUCUGUGAAUUGCAACUCUAAGGUAUCUUAGCCGCCCCUGUUGCUUCUCUGCUCCACAGGCAGACUGAUCAUAGUUUCUUAAAAAUGUAGCCAAAAUUGCACACUUUUAUGGGGAUUAGGACCCCAGGAGGGUCUGCUGGAGGAGCGGUCUGCACAGAUGCAGCCACCCUGGAGCCUGAACACUUGUGACCUUCUGUGCUCGUAUCCCUGCUCGUCUUCUUGGUGGCUGGCCAUGAAAGAGAGGCUAUUCUGGAGUUCCCCGAGGCACAGGCCAGAUUAUUUGGGGCUUACCACCGUCUGGCUGAGGAGGUAGGAAAUGAAGCGGUGGCCCCUCCUUUUAAGGCAAGUCCAGGUCCUGUGUUGGGAGAGAACCUUAUUUUUCCUAAGGCUCAGCCAGACAUCUUGCUAUUUUUAGAGGACUGGCCGGUUCUGAAUGUUGAUUCCAUCAUGGGCACGAGUCCCAUUUUAACUUCCCAGGGGCAGCCGAGAGCACAGCCAGCUCCCAAAGCUCAUUUUCUCUCCCUGCGGGGACCCUACCACCUUUCUGGGAAGAGGCGAGUUUGGGUGGCAUUUUACCAUUACAGUUGUCCUCGCCCUGCUUGUCAUCAGCGCUGGAGAGGUGACCUGGGACUUUGGGGGAGGCUGGGGCAAGGGGACGAGAGAGUGCCAACCUUAUACUAAGCAUAUCCUUAUUUAUGCUUCUAGCAACUCUGUGAAGUACCUUUUAUUACACCGGUUGAAGCUGCCUCCAGGUUAGAUAAUUUGGAGGCACAGAAUGGUUAAGAAACUUGCCCAGGUCACACAGCCGAUCAAUAGCUGACUUAGGACUUGAAGCACCUCUAAGCCAUUCAUUCUAAUUUGCAACAUUCAUUCUAAUUUGUUGCAUUUCCCAACAUCACCUGAUCCUCAUGCCACAGAAGGUGCUUAUUAAAAUCCCUGUUCCUUAUACCCCCGAGCCACAGAAUCGGAAUCUCCCUGGGAAUGGCUGGGUAUUAACAUUUUUAACCAGCAUGCCUAGGUGGUUUUCAUGCUCAGCAAAUUUGGGGAAGAACAGAGUCACUUUCAAACUUGAGUGAACAUGAGAAUCGCAAGGGAGUUUAUUUUUUAUUUUUUUUACAUUUUCUCUCAAUUUAUUACCAGUACCUAGAAAGGGAGUUUAUUUAAAGGCAGAUUCUUCUGACUUGCUCUCAAAGCUGCUGAGAGAUGUGGGCCAGGGCCCAAGAAUCUGCAUUUUUGCAACCAUUGCCAAUUUAUCCUGUUGCAAGUGGGCAGAGGAAAACACGGGCCUAAUAAUAAACAAGAAAGAAAGAUGGAGAUGCUAGAAUCAUGAAGUCACUAAUACCAGAAAGGACUCAUUAUACUGCAGUCCAAGGACAAUUAUUUCGUUUGGAUUAAAGGAAGAAUUUCUGCAAACAUGAUGACACAAGGUUAGACCCAGAAACAGGUGAUCCCUUCCACAACGAGAACAGUUAACAUAUUCAUAACAGAAAGGGGGGUAGGCCCUGUGGUCCACACGUGACCACUGACGUCUUAGCUCCCCCAAGUUCCCCAUCCUCAGCUUCCACCUGGAACGCUCUCUUCCCUUGCCCGUCUUUCCUCGUUAAAAAUUCUCUCUUUAAGGCUCAGUCCCAAAGAUUCUUUCUCCACACAGUUUUCUCCCAGGUGCUCCUCUCCCUCUUCUUUGUUCCUGUUGUUUGUACCUCUCCUGGGGUACAGAUCCCUUCUUACCUUGCCGUCUGACUCCCUUGUGUUCCUGUAACGCACACCUUUCCUUUCAAAGAGGGCUGGGACCUGACUGCUUCAUUGUUGAUGUCCCACACAGGGAAAGCCUUUUGCCCAGUAAGGUGGACCAGAUAGAAACCACCGCCACCACUACACUUACAGAGGGCUUACUGGGUGCAGAUGCUGUUCUCAGUGCUAUAGAAAGAAACUGAUAUUAAAUGCUCCUAUUUUGCAGGUGAAGAAAGGAAUGCACUAACUUAGAGGUGGUUGUGGAAGGGUCUCUCUUAGAAGUGAUAGCUCAGGAGUUCCCAUCGUGAGGCUGAUGCUGCGGACCAUACUUGAGGAACUAUUGCUGUAGCUCAAGGUGUCUGUUGCUGAGCAAUUCAUGGGCAAGGAAUCAGCCCUUACAUUCUGAACUUCAUCAAAACGAGGAGGAGAGGAAGAGGAGUAAAGCAUACAGCAGCCAGGAGAGAGUGAGCGACGUUCAAGGGUGCGAUGGUAGGAGUUUUCACCAAUGAGGGUGCAGAUGGGCAGGCAACACUCCAAAGAGAGGAGCCGAGUCAGUGAAAUGACUAAGUAAUGAAGAAUUUUCAGCCUAAGCGGCGGUACACAACUGGAGCCCACCCCUUUGGCUCCAGAUUCUUACUAACAAACUUUAAGUGGGGUUUGCAGAAGAAUGGAUGUAACCUCUCAUGAAUGGUGAAUUUCUUGAGAAGAUAGCUCGGCAGAGGGUCCACUGACUCACAGGCUCUCAUGCCAUAUUUGUGGAGGGAUCGUAAUGAUAGUAUAAUGUACUAUAAUAAUACAGAAUAUUGACAAACCGCUUUACCUCCAAAAUCUUACUUUUUUUUUCAAGUGCACCUAUUAAAUUGAGUGAGGAUGAAAAACUGCUUGAGAUCUGGGAAACACAUUCGAGAAUCUGGUUCUUGUCCUAGUUUUCCAAAGAAAUACAUUGCUCAGGGACUUAGUUUCUUAGUUUUUAAAAAAGAUGUAAUACUUCACAAUGUCUGCAUGGGGAUGUCUUUGGGGUCAUCAGAAGAAAUUGCUCCCAUUUAAUGAUUGGGAUAAAUGAUAUAUUAGAAAUAAAUUCCUUUGAGUUACUUUUGAGUUUCAGUACACAUUCAAAAUAUUGAACCAAGGCACUGGAAGGGCAAGCCGCAAGUUCGAAUCCUGUGCUGUCCAAUUCUCAUCCCUCACUCCCCAGACCCGAGCUCUUCGAAUUACUGACCAGCCCCUAGGCAACUGUGAACUCUCGCCUCUCUUCAUAGGCCCUCUUUUAAGUCCACCUUCCCCUCUGCUUUGCUUCCAGCCCCAGCACACAGAAUCAAGUUCACUGUCAGGACUAAAGUCACUCCCACACACCAGUCAUGCAGGCUGGGGCGAUUUCUCUCAUCCACGUCCCCUGGCCUGGCUGCCAGAUGGAGCAAGAUUCCAGCGGUGCUCCCUCGACCGUGGGGGAGGCAGAACCUGGAGCUUCAUCUGCUCUUAUAGAUGCUGCGGUGCUGGCUUCAGAUGACAGAAGCAGCUCAUUCACAGGGCUUCCCCCCAAAACAUGAGCAAAGAAAGAAAGACAGAUGGGCAAGGCAGGAGGGCCAGAGGACAGUUAGAGGAGAGAGCUCCGCGUGGGAGCAGCUCAGUACAUACCUGGGGAAAAGUUGCCGGCGGGUCCCUUCUCUCCGUGCCUUCUUCCCUGGCAGCCUCAUCCCCAUUAAGGUGUUUAGAGCAUGGAUUNUUUUUUUUUUUUUUUUUUUUUUUUUUUUUUUUUUCCCCAGUGCUAGCAGUGUUGGCUUGCAUUUCUAUGCCUUCCUGUCAGAAUUCUCUCAAGGAAACAGCAGCUGGUGAGCUCAGAAAUGUCAGUCAGACUCCUGGCCUAGUUUGGGGCCUUGAAGAUUCUUACAGAAAGUUAAAAAGGUUUCUGGGCCAGUGUCUCCUCUGGGUUUUCCCUCUCCUGCCUCUCACCUUUUCCAUCUUCUAUUUUUUUUUUUUUUUCAUUUUUACCUCCGUCACU
This 5504-nucleotide long non-coding RNA is filed under the name Sus scrofa (pig). RNAcentral describes it as "lncRNA (ENSSSCG00040014801.1)". The record is from RNAcentral. Lineage: Eukaryota; Metazoa; Chordata; Mammalia; Artiodactyla; Suidae.